This 499-nucleotide ribosomal RNA is filed under the name uncultured bacterium. Its description in RNAcentral is "bacterial SSU rRNA". It matches the Rfam family "Bacterial small subunit ribosomal RNA", at positions 29 to 507 of the family's 1533-position model. The record is from RNAcentral.
AACGAACGUUAGCGGCGCGCUUAACACAUGCAAGUCGCACGAGAAAGGGCUUCGGCCCCGGUAAAGUGGCGCACGGGUGAGUAACACGUGGAUAACCUACCCUCGAGCAGGGGAUAACAUCCCGAAAGGGGUGCUAAUACCGCAUAAGACCACGGCUUCGAAAGGAGCUGAGGUAAAAGCUGGCCUCUAUAUAUAAGCUAGCGCUUGAGGACGGGUCCGCGGCGCAUCAGGUAGUUGGCGGGGUAAUGGCCCACCAAGCCUAAGACGCGUAGCUGGUCUGAGAGGAUGAUCAGCCACACUGGAACUGAGACACGGUCCAGACUCCUACGGGAGGCAGCAGUGGGGAAUCUUGCGCAAUGGACGAAAGUCUGACGCAGCGACGCCGCGUGUGUGAUGAAGGCCUUCGGGUCGUAAAGCACUGUGGGGAGAGAAGAAUAAGCAAAGGCCAAUACCCUUUGUGAUGACGGUAUCUCCUUAGCAAGCACCGGCUAACUCUGUG